This 400-nucleotide ribosomal RNA is filed under the name uncultured bacterium. Its description in RNAcentral is "bacterial SSU rRNA". It matches the Rfam family "Bacterial small subunit ribosomal RNA", at positions 356 to 773 of the family's 1533-position model. The record is from RNAcentral.
GGGGAAUAUUGGACAAUGGGGGAAACCCUAAUCCAGCGAUGCCGCGUGAGUGAAGAAGGCCCUAGGGUUGUAAAGCUCUUUUAGUGGGGAAGAUAAUGACGGUACCCACAGAAAAAGCACCGGCAAACUCUGUGCCAGCAGCCGCGGUAAUACAGAGGGUGCAAGCGUUGUUCGGAAUUACUGGGCGUAAAGAGCGCGUAGGCGGUUCUAUAAGUCAGACGUGAAAGCCCUGGGCUUAACCCAGGAGGUGCGUUUGAAACUGUAGAGCUAGAGGACGAGAGAGGUGAGUGGAAUUCCUAGUGUAGAAGUGAAAUUCGUAGAUAUUAGGAGGAACAUCAGUGGCGAAGGCGGCUCACUGGCUCGUAACUGACGCUGAGGCGCGAAAGCGUGGGGAGCAAAC